RNAcentral lists this long non-coding RNA (825 nucleotides) under Fukomys damarensis (Damara mole-rat). RNAcentral's name for it is "lncRNA (ENSFDAG00000025717.1)". Lineage: Eukaryota; Metazoa; Chordata; Mammalia; Rodentia; Bathyergidae. The record is from RNAcentral.
GAAAAAUGUGCAAAGUCAACACUACCCUGCAAAGUGAGGACUUUCCCCUCUCCUGUUAGGUCAUGGAACCCAUGUUUAAAAUUUAAGUUACCUAUGAAGCCAGGCCUACCUAAGGACAUGAGUUAAAGAUUCUCAAAAACUGCUAGUAUUUUUUGUCACACAUACACCCCCGAGUUUGAUAGUUCCUGUCAAAACAGGCUGGCUCAGCAUCUGCAACUCGGACUUUCCAAAUGCUGUCUCUUGCUUCUGGAAAUGAGUGGCAGUAGUGGGCUGGAGAUUUGGGGAGGAAUAAGAAAAACUCCAAAAAUAGGAAGCAGCUUGAACUUCCUACUAUCAGUCAGUCGAGAAGUUUGAACUACUUGAGGUGGAUGAUGUAACGGGAACAAAUGACGGAAAUAAAAGAUAACUUCCUUCUUUUUGCCUUUUUAUCAAGGAAAUGGAAAAAUCCAACUGGAACAAAUGGAAUAAGAAAUACCGUGGUGCUUGAAGUCCAAGAUAGAUAAGUCAUUAAGAGAACCUACUUGCUCAGCCGAGUGACUACUGGGCAGUUAUUGUCAUACCGCAGUGGACACAGCAAAAGUCACAACUGUUAUUCUAGUACAGGACAGAAGGAAAUUAAGGACAGAAAAAUCCAAUCUACCAUAGUGAGUCAAUGCUGGAAGAUACAGAAAUCAAGCACAGGAUGAAGAACCCCGGGAGAAUGAUGUGGGAGAAUGAAGAAAACUUUAAAACUUUGUUGGAAAUCAUAAGAGAAGACUUGAUCAAAGAGAAAAUGGAAUUUAUUCUUACACAGGAAGGCAGUGUUACAAAGAUGUCAAAUAUCCC